Molecule: ribosomal RNA, 439 nt
Filed under: uncultured bacterium
Lineage: Bacteria
Description: partial 16S ribosomal RNA
Rfam family: Bacterial small subunit ribosomal RNA
Source: RNAcentral
CUACGGGCGGCACCAGUGGGGAAUAUUGCACAAUGGAGGAAACUCUGAUGCAGCAACGCCGCGUGGAGGAUGACACUUUUCGGAGCGUAAACUCCUUUUAUAUAGGAAGAAGAUGACGGUACUAUAUGAAUAAGCGCCGGCUAACUCCGUGCCAGCAGCCGCGGUAAUACGGAGGGCGCAAGCGUUACUCGGAGUCACUGGGCGUAAAGAGCGUGUAGGCGGAUUAAAAAGUCAGAAGUGAAAUCCUAUAGCUUAACUAUAGAACUGCUUCUGAAACUCUUAAUCUAGAAUAUGGGAGAGGUAGAUGGAAUUUCUGGUGUAGGGGUAAAAUCCGCAGAGAUCAGAAGGAAUACCGAUUGCGAAGGCGAUCUACUAGAACAUUAUUGACGCUGAGACGCGAAAGCGUGGGGAGCAAACAGGAUUAGAUACCCUCGUAGUC